UGCUAUGAAUUGCCAUUCAUGACGUAUCUACAUAUGAGCUACACUGAGUGAACAGCAUGAUACCACAAUCUAUCGAAGAGUUCGAGCAAGUCAACGAUUGAGUGGGAUGCAACACGCAAACCAAUUAACUUUAAAUUAAACGCGCUAUCGCUGCCAGCUCGGCGACUCUCAGUUUUGCGCGCGCUUCGAUUAUUUAUGAGCAUGUAGACAAUCGCAAAUCACAUCCGCUUGGCUUGAAGAACGAAUCAAAACGACACUCCAGCCAGUGUGUGGCGGUUUGAACUCAUGCGAGCUACUAUUACUACUCGACUUAGGCUUGUAAGGCGAUGUAGAGCUUUCUAUGAACUUAAUUCUUGUGAUUGUCGUUUGGAGGUACGGCAAAGCAAAAAAUGCAGCCAAACGUGUUCAGGUGAGCUGAGGAGAGGUUACAACAAAAACGUUUGCGUCUGCCCGACUUGAGUGACUAACAGGGUGUUUGAUCCUAUGUUCAUAAUACUAGAAAGCGCAUAUGCACAAAUUAUGUCAGCUAAAUAUGUCAAGCAUAUUACUCUCCCUCUCUUCUUUUUUCUACAAUUUAUGUGAAGUGAAUUCCACAAUGUAUUUACAGUAAUGGAUUCGUCUGAUGAAUUGAUUUAUCGUCCUUCUUUCUGAACUUUAUCCUCCAUACUAUCGCGACAGUUUAUCAAUACAACAUUGUUGACCUACCUACACGCGUCCUAGGAAAUAGGUUCCAGAUAAACCACAGGAACUUUGUAUGAGGUGGUCUCUAUCAUUUUGAAUCUAAGUUUGUAAAAAUCGGUUCAGUCAUCUUUGAGAAAAAUUAUGUAUAAAAACGUUACAUACGUACAAAUUCACACAGUUAAAG
This is a long non-coding RNA of Malaya genurostris, 865 nucleotides long. RefSeq lists it as uncharacterized. The transcript is spliced from 3 exons. The record is from RefSeq and is a predicted model, not a curated record. Lineage: Eukaryota; Metazoa; Arthropoda; Insecta; Diptera; Culicidae.